This 489-nucleotide ribosomal RNA is filed under the name Pseudomonas gessardii. RNAcentral's name for it is "bacterial SSU rRNA". It matches the Rfam family "Bacterial small subunit ribosomal RNA", at positions 1 to 497 of the family's 1533-position model. Lineage: Bacteria; Pseudomonadati; Pseudomonadota; Gammaproteobacteria; Pseudomonadales; Pseudomonadaceae. The record is from RNAcentral.
UAGAAGUUUGAAUCCUGGCUCAGAUUGAACGCUGGCGGCAGGCCUAACACAUGCAAGUCGAGCGGUAGAGAGAAGCUUGCUUCUCUUGAGAGCGGCGGACGGGUGAGUAAUGCCUAGGAAUCUGCCUGGUAGUGGGGGAUAACGUUCGGAAACGGACGCUAAUACCGCAUACGUCCUACGGGAGAAAGCAGGGGACCUUCGGGCCUUGCGCUAUCAGAUGAGCCUAGGUCGGAUUAGCUAGUUGGUGAGGUAAUGGCUCACCAAGGCGACGAUCCGUAACUGGUCUGAGAGGAUGAUCAGUCACACUGGAACUGAGACACGGUCCAGACUCCUACGGGAGGCAGCAGUGGGGAAUAUUGGACAAUGGGCGAAAGCCUGAUCCAGCCAUGCCGCGUGUGUGAAGAAGGUCUUCGGAUUGUAAAGCACUUAAGUUGGGAGGAAGGGUUGUAGAUUAAUACUCUGCAAUUGACGUACCGACAGUAGCCCGUC